Dendroctonus ponderosae (mountain pine beetle) is the source of this 1006-nucleotide long non-coding RNA. RefSeq lists it as uncharacterized. The transcript has 2 exons. NCBI's taxonomy places the organism in Eukaryota, Metazoa, Arthropoda, Insecta, Coleoptera, Curculionidae. The record is from RefSeq and is a predicted model, not a curated record.
AAUAUGAGUCAAAAUAUAAAAACCGUGCUUGUGCCUCAGUGUUAUGAUGUGUCUUCAAGACGGAAAUUACGAUAUAAUUAUGACUUAAAACCCCGCAAACAUGUAAAGGUGAUACCGCUGUUCUGGAUUUGAAGCAUUGAAGACGCUAGGCAUCACGUGAGAAAACCACACACGAAAAAUGUUCGCAUAAAAUACGGCAAAAGGUAUGUUGGUGUUUAAAUUAAAUACAUUUGAUUAUUUUAUUAUUUCGUGUUCUAUACUACAGGUAAUGUCGCUGUUGUGGACUUGAAGCAUUGAAGAUGCUAGCGAUCACCAGAUCUGCAGAUCCAGUGAGAAAAACCACACACGAAAAAUUUUCGCAUAAGAGACAAGUAAGGUUGUCUGAACCUAAUUAUUCGUCUAUUAAUAUAAAACUAUUAUCUGUAUUUUUUUAUUUUUACCAGUUUAAUUUUGGUUGAUUUCUAUUUUGCGAGAAGCAUGUUUUCUUGGAUCGAAGGAAAGCAACAAAAGUAAAAUGAAAGUAACGUAUCAAUGCAAAUUGCUAUACCUAACUGUAUUUCUACACAAUAGAAUAAUCUGUGGAUGAACGAAAAAACUCUUCUAUCAAUGUAAAACUAUUAACUGUAUUUUGUUGUUGUGACCAAUAUUAAAAUUUGUAAUUGUUUAGAGAAUUUUUGUUAAGAGCACAUUGCGAAACACGUUAAUUGAUCGAGAACAAAAUGAAAGGGCAAAAGCCACAGAGCGGGAACAUAUAAGGAAUAUAAAAUAAUAAGUGCAGUUUUGUAGAUAAAGGUUUGUGUUUCAUCUCACAGUCACACAUCAUUGCGACAACGGCAAAAAUGCUGAAAAUGUUAAUUUAGAUUUUUAGUCCGUAGUUAUAAGUUAUAUUUUAAUUUAUUUAUUAUCCAUUUAAUUAGUUUUAGAUUAGUUGCAAGUAACUCUUGUAGUUGAAAAAUCACAUCAGUAAAUACUUAAAUAUGUGAAUAAACUAAUAAGAGGAAAUAAA